AAAUUAAUUUUUUUAUGAAAGAGAAAUAAUGUAACCCACGCUAAUUUCACUUUCACUUAAUUUAUUCUGAAAGAAGCGUCAGCCUUUGCAUCGCCGAACCCACCGCCGCACCCACUGACGCACGCCCAUAGUCACCGACACACCGGCGCACCGCCACACCCACCGAAGCACCACUGCACUGCUGCAUCGUAGCCCCACCACUGCACUGCUGCACCGUAGCCCCACCACUGCACUAAAUAGGACAUGACAUGUCAAUUCGAGUUCAAGAUAUUAGUUGAUCAAGGUGGUGCAUGCUUUCUAGUAAGUUUCCGAGCAAUGGUCAGCUCUGAUUUUCCGAUACGGAGAGACAAAACAAUGUGAACAACAGACAGAGUUAUGUGAGAGACAAUAUUGGGCCUUGUGAGAGACAUGCUUGUAAUUUAUAAGUACAUCAUUUUCUUGAUGUAGAGCUGAUGAUAUAUAUGUAGAUUUUAAUUAAAUUGAGCCUUACAUUGUUUAGGAUAUAUAAUCUUUGUAUUUAUCAUAAAAGUGAAUUAAUAUUUUAUACUGUUUCACAUAAUAAAAAAAAAUGUAGCGUAUUAGUGGGGUGAAUACAAGUUAUGUGAAAUUAUUUGGA
Molecule: long non-coding RNA, 616 nt
Organism: Chenopodium quinoa (quinoa)
Lineage: Eukaryota; Viridiplantae; Streptophyta; Magnoliopsida; Caryophyllales; Amaranthaceae
Exons: 2
Source: RefSeq, a predicted model, not a curated record